AGCUUUCGACAUGAUUCU
This 18-nucleotide microRNA is filed under the name Caenorhabditis remanei. RNAcentral's name for it is "crm-miR-80-5p". Its record names the gene crm-miR-80-5p. Lineage: Eukaryota; Metazoa; Nematoda; Chromadorea; Rhabditida; Rhabditidae. The record is from miRBase by way of RNAcentral.